UCUUCGGCCGCCGUUAGGUUGUGGCUGCUGUAGUUGCCGAAGCAACACUGGCUAGAACGCCAGACAGGGGCCACUUUUCGAGACCGAGUAGAGACGGACAGUGAGGAGGAUAGGACCCACUUACACGCUUUUAUGUCAGCCGCGAUCCCACCCCCACAAGCGUCUGCAAAACGCUUCCUCGGGCGUUGGCGACAGCCCUGUGUCCCCACGGCGCGCAGAAGCGGCGCCGCGAACCUUGUGCGCAUUUCACACGACGGCGGGGACUGAAGUCCCUCGCAGCCCAGAGCCGGAGCCCGGGGUCUGCCAAGCCCGCAGGACCGGCUUCCUCGCCGACUCUCACGGCCUCACCCCGCCCCUUGGGCCCAUGGCGGCGCCGGCGUUGGUGAGUGGAGGGUUCCGCAGCCCGCGCGAGCUCGGGUCACCGCCCGCACGCACCCAUCCGCUGUAAUACGGGGGAUGCCGGGACUCUGCGCUUCUCCCUUUUGAUGCCCUAGGAUAUGGAGAUCCCGGGAGAGGGUGAGGUGAGAGGGCAGGGCUAAUCACUUGCUACCCAGGGUCCUGCAUCCAGGACAGGAGUUGUAAGGAGAGGUCCCUGUUUCUGGCUCUAACCUUGAGCUGUCGCCUCGCUGCCCUCGGCCUCCAUUCCCUCGGGUCUAAAAUGCGAGUCUCAAUAAUUUUAUCUGUGGAGGGAACUGGAGCGGGUACGCUUGUGACGUGGGUACUAUCUUUCAGUGCUCGGAGAGCAUUAGGUGCCGUCUUUGAAGAAGGACUCCCCAGGUCCUGCUAUUGUUUUAGGGGGUCAUUCCAGCCGAAGUCUGGCCCUACCAAAAGCUAGGAGAGGGAAUGAGAGCCUCGAGGGCAAGAGGCAUUAGUAUCAUUUGAAGACGUGGUUGUGACCUUCACUGGAGAGGAAUGGGGGCACCUGGACCUGGCCCAGAGGACCCUGUACCAGGAGGUGAUGCUGGAGACCUGCAGGCUCUUGGUCUCACUGGGGCAUCCUGUUCCCAAACCAGAGCUGAUCUAUCUACUGGAACAUGGACAGGAACUGUGGACAGUGAAGAGAGGCCUCUCCCAAAGCACCUGUGCAGGUUGGUGACUGAGAGUCUGGCAGCGGGUAUCAGGGCAGCCUGCAGACCACCCCAGGCAUCACUGUGUCUGAAAUGCCAUGGGCAGCUAUUUUGUGGUCUUGAGCAGUCAUGGAGCCCUUGACCCCAUGGUCCCCCAUCUUCCCACUCCUGUCACACACUCUUUGCCUUUAUUCAGGUUGGAAUAUGUUAGGUAGGAGACAGAUUCUAGGCUUUAAUGAUUUGCCACUCACUAGCCUCAUGACUCUGGAGAAGUUAUGUGAUGUCACUGUGCCUUUGGUAUAUAAGUUAGGCUGA
This 1382-nucleotide small RNA is filed under the name Pongo abelii (Sumatran orangutan). Its description in RNAcentral is "retained intron". The record is from RNAcentral. Lineage: Eukaryota; Metazoa; Chordata; Mammalia; Primates; Hominidae.